GAUGAACAGGGCAAACUGACACUAAACCAGGCUGAGUGCUGCAAUUCAGCACUACUCCUCCCAUUCCCAGAAGGCUAGGUUCAUAAUGGUGGAGAUUCUCCCAAAUAUCUUCAUUCCAUCACAAGAACACUGCCAGGCUUUUGGCAGACUACAAAUACUUUUUCUUUUCUUUUCUUUUCUUUUCUUUUCUUUUCUUUUCUUUUCUUUUCUUUUCUUUUCUUUUCUUUUCUUUUCUUUUCUUUUCUUUUCCUUUUAAUUAGGGAAAAUGGUUUCAAGAGGAAGAUUUAAAAAUGUUAAUAAUGUGAACUCCUAAGAGGCAUAAUAAUAGAGACACUUAUUGGAUAUACUACCUUAAAAAGUAAACUUAGCAAAACAAAAUGUAACAAAUAAUGUAAUAAUUGCCAUCUUCCCCUGGCUAAACCAAAAUAUCUCUUGAACUUUUUUUAUCUCAACAUGGGCUUUUUUAUUUUCUCACUGAUAAUUUUUCUGGUUUUUAAUUUUUCUAUUCAGGAAUAAGUCUAACACGCCCAAUUACCAUCUCAAGGCUUCAUGGAUAUCACGUUACAUGGAAUGAAAAAACAGCUCUUGGGUCAAGACACAGUUACAGCAGGCUGCAGUCUUGGGUCCAGGUGUGCGGUUACCAUGGCUCUCGUGAUGCCCUGCGGUAGCACUUUCUGCAUCCUCAUCAGCGACAAGCGUUCCCUCACUCCGAGUCAGGCUGAAACACCGUGGUUCAAAAGGGGAGAGAAGAUGUGGGAACGGCCUUGUCGCUCUGGGCUGCGGAGAGCCCUGCAGAGCGCGUCUGGGACAUGGACAGCGAACCAGAAUCUCUAGAAGAGAAAACUGAAGGUUAACACCGCUUCGUGCCAUAAAGGAUUCUGGAUUUGAGAAGAGGGAGAUACUGUAAACUGUAUCAUGGCACCUGCACACAAGCUUUUGUGAAAUGUUACAUCAGUGUCUCACUUGGCAGAGGGACAACACCGUGAGAAGGGAGAGUUGCAGCCUUCCCAUGAGCUCCAGGGAGAUGGACAAAACUUUUUGAAAAUAUUCCUGGUACUGAACUCAUUAAUUAAUUGGAAAUGCAGCUUAUUUCCUUUUCAUAGGUUUCAGAUUUGUGUCAAAUCCUAAACACAUAUAAUUGAAGAGGAAGCAUGUGAUAUUUCAUACAUUCUGUAUUCAAGUCAAAACAUUCAAUUUUGGAAGACACUCUGGGUGAAGGCUGUAUUUGCUAUUACUCACUCCUCUGAUACUUCUUUUCUUUCCACUGUCUGAUUCACUUCUUUAAUCAUAUUUCCUCUCUUUUGCUCUUCCUCAAUCAUACCCACCUACUUAAAACUAAUCACAUACUAAAAAGUGCAUAAUUAGGUUUUCAUUACGUUCUUUCCUGACAUAAUUUUUGAUUAUGUAAUUAAGGGUUCUCACUGAGCUCUUGAACUGAGAGAAAAUUUUUGGUUUAAUUAAUCAAAUGGUCCUUCUCAAUUCAGAGUAGCUUUAAGUAGUUUUGUUUUUAAGUCAGGUGCAAAAAGUGUUUCUAUUACUCCUGACAUAAUGCUAUAUGAUCUGAUCUUUACCCUCUAAAGCCAACAAUGGAGAAGCACAGCCUUGACAACAGGCUCAGGUAUAUUUAUCUAAAGAAAAGAAGAUAUAUCAAACUUCAAUAUGCUUGACAUAGGAUGAUUUUUAAAAUUUUUUCAAAUUCUUUUUUUUUUCUAUUGUAAAAUGGAAGUUUGUCAGAUUUUUAUUAAAUAGUCAAUUAAACUGGGGUUGUUCCAAGUGAUUUUUCCCCAUAUGAGACCAUUUACAAGUUUGCAACUUCUUUCACUUUUUUCUAACAAAUUAACAAAUUCUUACAAUUUUUUUUCUUUUGGGAGAGUACUAAAAAAGGCAGCUGGAAGAUUUGCAGAUUGUAUGCAAAUAAGUAUUUGCCCUGCAUUGAUACAAUCAAGCAAAGGUUCACUCUCUGUAUUUUGUUCUCUGUAAGUACAUGAAGUAAAAAUAACAUGAACAACAGUGCUUGUUUUUGUUUUUUUAUAAAUUGCUUCUUCCUGACUGCAUUUGCAUUAUUUCCUCUGCCAGUACAUUGAACAGGAAAAGCCACCUACCUCUGUGUCAGCACAGCCGAGGUAUAGAAAUUGUGAUGAGGAGGUGGAGGCUGGAAUUCUGUGGCCAGUUCAAAACUCGUGGUGUUUUCACAGGAAAAUGUUUUAUGGCACAUAUAUAGACCUGGAAUACAUGGCAUCUAUCCACUCUUCUUUUCUCCAGUUCUAGUCUUUGCUUUGCCUGAUGCACCUCAGUGGUGCUGAUGGUAUAGAGCAUGAUUUUGGGGCAAGGGAUUGGCACUAGCUCAGCAUCCUGUUGCCAGCUGAAGGGGUAUUGGUGAAUUGUUCUCAGCUUAAGAUCAGACCAUGCCCGAGGGACUGACUGGGCUGGGCCCACUCCGUGUGCUGCGUGAGGAAGACGAGCAAACAUCACAGAACGUGCUGCUGCAUCUCCUGCAUCUUUGACACUUGGUGUUCCAAAUGCAGCUGUGCAGAGGUGUCUGGGAUUUACUGUCUGCACCUGCAAUCUUGGUCAGGUUUUUUUUAAUACUGGAGUAUAUGAGUAAACUAACAUGCAUUUCUGAGAUGAUAUGUGAAUUCUUCUCCACUAAAUACUAAGAGUGAUGGACGUCUGCAUUUGAUGUACUGACGAUCUUUGCUAAGGAUGGGUGGAGACAGUUUCAUAUCACAACAGCACAAAACAGAGAGCUUGGUCAUAAUACAUAAUUUUGCCAUUUAUAGGCUCCCUGUGCAUCUUGUAUCCAGUAUAAAACUCUCUCCAUGGUUAUUGUAGUGCACACAUUUUGUAUCUAUAAGGCUGAAUUCAUGUAACCUGGAAACAUUUAGUCAUUGGUGUAGCUUGGACUGUGUUUUUAUUGUUGAACUUAACUGAAGUGUGAGCUACCCUUUUUUCCUUUCGACAUUGUUGCAUGUUUUCAACCACUUCCUUUGUGACACUGUGGUGAACAGGAUCAGGAACUGAUCAGCUGAUCCAGCUCAAAUUAACUGGAAGGCGAACAAACAAAAGGUCCUUUUUUGAAUCAGAUUUGCUCCCUGACAAGCUCAGUGUGCUUGUCAAGAGUUACUGCAGGCAUGAGAGGAGGUGUUCAGUCGUGUGGUAAGGGCAGGGAUGGGAGAAGGAUGGGAUUGCCUCCUUUGGCAGUAACUCAUCUAAAGAUCAGUUUAAAGCCAUUUGUGAAACUACAGCCUUGCAUAACUACCAGCAUCAACACUGGAUGCAGUCCUUGGAAUUAUAACCACUCAUUAGAGCUUGUGGAACUUCCGUGGCCUGUGAGCUCACAGUGUAGGGGAGAAAGAUGUUCUAGGAAAUCAUCACCAGCUCUAACAGAACUAUAGCAGUCCCUCUAGGGAAGGGGAAUCAGACUUUUUUGUACUAUUGAUAUCUUCAAAACAGGCUUCUUUCUUUUUCCUUGGUUGAUCUUUGUGCAGAAACACUAAAAGCGCAGCAAUAAAAAUGCCAUUAAACUAACA
Long non-coding RNA from Zonotrichia albicollis (white-throated sparrow), 3530 nucleotides. Lineage: Eukaryota; Metazoa; Chordata; Aves; Passeriformes; Passerellidae. The record is from Ensembl.